This 506-nucleotide ribosomal RNA is filed under the name uncultured bacterium. Its description in RNAcentral is "partial 16S ribosomal RNA". It matches the Rfam family "Bacterial small subunit ribosomal RNA", at positions 29 to 523 of the family's 1533-position model. The record is from RNAcentral.
AGUGAACGCUGGCGGUAGGCCUAACACAUGCAAGUCGAACGGCAGCACAGGAGAGCUUGCUCUCUGGGUGGCGAGUGGCGGACGGGUGAGGAAUACAUCGGAAUCUACUCUGUCGUGGGGGAUAACGUAGGGAAACUUACGCUAAUACCGCAUACGACCUACGGGUGAAAGCAGGGGAUCCUCGGACCUUGCGCGAUUGAAUGAGCCGAUGUCGGAUUAGCUAGUUGGCGGGGUAAAGGCCCACCAAGGCGACGAUCCGUAGCUGGUCUGAGAGGAUGAUCAGCCACACUGGAACUGAGACACGGUCCAGACUCCUACGGGAGGCAGCAGUGGGGAAUAUUGGACAAUGGGCGCAAGCCUGAUCCAGCCAUACCGCGCGGGUGAAGAAGGCCUUCGGGUUGUAAAGCCCUUUUGUUGGGAAAGAAAUCCAGCUGGUUAAUACCCGGUUGGGAUGACGGUACCCAAAGAAUAAGCACCGGCUAACUUCGUGCCAGCCGCCGCCGUAA